CAGCCGCCGCGGGAAUACAGAGGGUGCGAGCGUUAAUCGGAUUUACUGGGCGUAAAGCGUGUGUAGGUUGUUGUUCAAGUCAGUUGUGAAAUCCCUGGGCUCAACCUGGGAACUGCUUCUGAGACUGAACGACUAGAGUACGGUAGAGGGUGGUGGAAUUUCCGGUGUAGCGGUGAAAUGCGUAGAUAUCGGAAGGAACAUCAAUGGCGAAGGCAGCCACCUGGGCCUGUACUGACACUGAGACACGAAAGCGUGGGGAUCAAACAGGAUUAGAUACCCGCGUAGUCCCUGUCUCUUAUAC
RNAcentral lists this ribosomal RNA (301 nucleotides) under uncultured bacterium. RNAcentral describes it as "partial 16S ribosomal RNA". It matches the Rfam family "Bacterial small subunit ribosomal RNA", at positions 509 to 807 of the family's 1533-position model. The record is from RNAcentral.